AGAGCGGGCUAGACGGUCGCCGGAGUGUGCCCUCGGGCACAGCUUCGGAGGAAAGUCCGGUCACCAGAGGGCAAGGACGCUGGCUAACGGCCAGGCAGGGCGACCUGACGGAAAGCGCCACAGAGAGUAGACCGCUGCGCUAGCUUGGCUAGGGCAGUAAGGGUGAAAGGGUGGGGUAAGAGCCCACCAGACGGCCGGGCGACCGGCUGUGCUAGGCAAGCCCCGUUCGGUGCAAGCCCAGACAGGGGAAGAUGACGCGGCCCGCCGAUUCCCCGGGUAGGGUGCACGAGGCGGUCGGUAACGGCCGUCCCAGAGAGAUGACCGUCCACGACAGAAACCGGCUUAUCGGCCCGCUCUCCGC
Molecule: RNase P RNA, 361 nt
Filed under: Armatimonadota bacterium
Lineage: Bacteria; Bacillati; Armatimonadota
Description: Armatimonadetes bacterium (fermentation metagenome) RNase P RNA component class A
Rfam family: Bacterial RNase P class A
About the family: Ribonuclease P (RNase P) is a ubiquitous endoribonuclease, found in archaea, bacteria and eukarya as well as chloroplasts and mitochondria. Its best characterised activity is the generation of mature 5'-ends of tRNAs by cleaving the 5'-leader elements of precursor-tRNAs.
Source: RNAcentral